This 775-nucleotide ribosomal RNA is filed under the name uncultured Rhodocyclaceae bacterium. Its description in RNAcentral is "bacterial SSU rRNA". It matches the Rfam family "Bacterial small subunit ribosomal RNA", at positions 573 to 1338 of the family's 1533-position model. The record is from RNAcentral. Lineage: Bacteria; Pseudomonadati; Pseudomonadota; Betaproteobacteria; Rhodocyclales; Rhodocyclaceae.
AGGCGGCUCGGUACGCCUCUGGUUAAAUCUAUGGGCUCAACCCAUAGGCCGCUGGAGGUACGGCCGAGCUCGAGGUCGGGAGAGGCGAACGGAAUGGCCGGUGUAGUAGUAAAAUGCGUUAAUAUCGGCUAGAACACCAAUUGCGAAGGCAGUUCGCUAGAACGAACCUGACGCUGCAAGAACGAAAGCGUGGGGAGCGAAAGGGAUUAGAUACCCCUGUAGUCCACGCCGUAAACGAUGUGUGCUGAGUCUUGGCAGUUUCGACCCUGCCAGGAUUGCCAACCUAAGCUAACGCCUUAAGCACACCACCUGGGGAGUACGGCCGCAAGGCUAAAACUCAAAGGAAUUGACGGGAGCCCGCACAAGCGGUGGAGCAUGUGGUUUAAUUCGAUGGUAAGCGAGGAACCUUACCAGGGUUUGACAUCCUACGAACCCCGCCGAAAGGUGGGGGUGCCCGCAAGGGAGCGUAGAGACAGGUGCUGCAUGGUCGUCGUCAGCUCGUGCCGUGAGGUGUCGGGUUAAGUCCCGCAACGAGCGCAACCCUUGUCAUUAGUUGCCAUCAUUUAGUUGGGCACUCUAAUGAGACUGCCGGUGACAAACCGGAGGAAGGUGGGGAUGACGUCAAGUCCUCAUGGCCCUUAUGGGUAGGGCUUCACACGUCAUACAAUGGUCGGUACAGAGGGUCGCCAACCCGCGAGGGGGAGCCAAUCUCACAAAGCCGAUCGUAGUCCGGAUUGGAGUCUGCAACUCGACUCCAUGAAGUCGGAAUCGCUAG